GGGUUGGUAGCUCAGCCAGGUAGAGCAGCGGCCUUUUAAGCCGUUGGUCCAGGGUUCGAAUCCCUGCCAACCCACCA
RNAcentral lists this transfer RNA (77 nucleotides) under Limisphaerales bacterium. RNAcentral's name for it is "Verrucomicrobia subdivision 3 bacterium (hot springs metagenome) tRNA-Lys". It matches the Rfam family "tRNA". Rfam says of the family: Transfer RNA (tRNA) molecules are approximately 80 nucleotides in length. Their secondary structure includes four short double-helical elements and three loops (D, anti-codon, and T loops). The record is from RNAcentral. Lineage: Bacteria; Pseudomonadati; Verrucomicrobiota; Verrucomicrobiia; Limisphaerales.